GUGUCAGCCGCCGCGGUAAUACAGAGGGUGCAAGCGUUGCUCGGAAUCAUUGGGCGUAAAGGGCAAGUAGGUGGUCUCAUUUGUCUGAUGUGAAAGCCUUGAGCUUAACUCAAGAAGUGCGUCAGAAACGGUGAGACUCGAGUUCUGGAGAGGGUCGUGGAAUUCCCGGUGUAGCGGUGAAAUGCGUAGAGAUCGGGAGGAACACCAGAGGCGAAGGCGGCGACCUGGACAGAUACUGACACUCAACUGCGAAAGCGUGGGGAGCAAACAGGAUUAGAAACCCUGGUAGUCC
This 292-nucleotide ribosomal RNA is filed under the name uncultured bacterium. RNAcentral's name for it is "partial 16S ribosomal RNA". It matches the Rfam family "Bacterial small subunit ribosomal RNA", at positions 505 to 796 of the family's 1533-position model. The record is from RNAcentral.